CCUACGGGAGGCAGCAGUGGGGAAUAUUGCACAAUGGGGGAAACCCUGAUGCAGCAACGCCGCGUGAAGGAAGACGGUUUUCGGAUUGUAAACUUCUGUUCUUAGUGAAGAAUAAUGACGGUAGCGAAGGAGCAAGCCACGACAAACUACGUGCCAGCAGCCGCGGUAAUACGUAGGUGGCAAGCGUUGUCCGGAAUUACGGGGUGGAAAGGGGGGGCAGGCGGGAAGCCAAGGUAGCUGUUAAAACUACGGGCUUAACUUGUAGACUGCAGUUGAAACUGGUUUUCUUGAGUGAAGUAGAGGUUGGCGGAAUUCCGGGUGUAGCGGUGAAAUGCGUAGAUAUUCGGAGGAACACCGGUGGCGAAGGCGGCCAACUGGGCUUUAACUGACGCUGAGGCUCGAAAGUGUGGGGAGCAAACAGGAUUAGAUACCCGUGUAGUC
This 441-nucleotide ribosomal RNA is filed under the name uncultured bacterium. RNAcentral describes it as "partial 16S ribosomal RNA". It matches the Rfam family "Bacterial small subunit ribosomal RNA", at positions 338 to 795 of the family's 1533-position model. The record is from RNAcentral.